This 240-nucleotide ribosomal RNA is filed under the name uncultured bacterium. Its description in RNAcentral is "partial 16S ribosomal RNA". It matches the Rfam family "Bacterial small subunit ribosomal RNA", at positions 15 to 243 of the family's 1533-position model. The record is from RNAcentral.
GAUCCUGGCUCAGGAUGAACGCUAGCUACAGGCUUAACACAUGCAAGUCGAGGGGAAACGACAUCGAAAGCUUGCUUUUGAUGGGCGUCGACCGGCGCACGGGUGAGUAACGCGUAUCCAACCUGCCCACCACUUGGGGAUAACCUUGCGAAAGUAAGACUAAUACCCAAUGACAUCCCACGAAGACAUCUGAAUGGGAUUAAAGAUUUAUCGGUGAUGGAUGGGGAUGCGUCUGUAUUA